This 184-nucleotide non-coding RNA is filed under the name Chloroflexota bacterium. RNAcentral's name for it is "Chloroflexi bacterium 6S RNA". It matches the Rfam family "6S / SsrS RNA". From Rfam's summary of the family: E. coli 6S RNA was the first non coding RNA to be sequenced, but its function was unknown until recently. It consists of 184 nucleotides that fold into an extended hairpin structure with a large single-stranded internal bulge. The 6S RNA specifically associates with RNA polymerase holoenzyme containing the sigma70 specificity factor. Lineage: Bacteria; Bacillati; Chloroflexota. The record is from RNAcentral.
UGAACCCUGCUGUUCACGUGAUGCGCCACGCGUCUUGAGCCAACAUUUCCUUGAUAGGGAGCCUCUGUUUUAGAGGGGAUGCGGUAGCCCUUUACGGGCAAGGCAAAACCUUCUAUCCAAGCGCCCCCCUGCUUAAAAGCAGGUUCAAGGACAAAUGGAUUGCACACGGUUCAGUGGGGGGAAU